RNAcentral lists this ribosomal RNA (179 nucleotides) under uncultured bacterium. Its description in RNAcentral is "partial 16S ribosomal RNA". It matches the Rfam family "Bacterial small subunit ribosomal RNA", at positions 1304 to 1500 of the family's 1533-position model. The record is from RNAcentral.
GCUGAAACUCGCCUCUUUGAAGUCGGAAUCGCUAGUAAUCGCAGAUCAGCAUGUUGCGGUGAAUACGUUUCCUGGUCUUGUACACACCGCCCGUCAAACCAUGAGAGUCGCCAACACCCGAAGUCCGCUUUGCGGCCUAAGGUGGGGGGAUGAUUGGGGUUAAGUCGUAACAAGGUAAC